This 253-nucleotide ribosomal RNA is filed under the name uncultured bacterium. RNAcentral's name for it is "partial 16S ribosomal RNA". It matches the Rfam family "Bacterial small subunit ribosomal RNA", at positions 524 to 776 of the family's 1533-position model. The record is from RNAcentral.
UACGUAGGGUGCAAGCGUUGUCCGGAAUUAUUGGGCGUAAAGAGCUCGUAGGCGGUCUGUCGCGUCGGCUGUGAAAACUCGGGGCUCAACCCCGAGCCUGCAGUCGAUACGGGCAGACUAGAGUGCAGUAGGGGAGACUGGAAUUCCUGGUGUAGCGGUGAAAUGCGCAGAUAUCAGGAGGAACACCGGUGGCGAAGGCGGGUCUCUGGGCAGUAACUGACGCUGAGGAGCGAAAGCGUGGGGAGCGAACAGG